AGAGACUGCAAGCGUUAUUCGGAUUCACUGGGCGUAAAGGGUGCGCAGGCGGUUGGGUGUGUCAGAUGUGAAAUCCCGAGGCUUAACCUCGGAACUGCGUCUGAAACUACUCGACUAGAGUACUGGAGAGGGUAACGGAAUUCACGGUGUAGCAGUGAAAUGCGUAGAUAUCGUGAGGAACACCAGAGGCGAAGGCGGUUACCUGGACAGUUACUGACGCUCAGGCACGAAAGCAUGGGGAGCAAAAGGGAUUAGAUACCCCUGUAGUCCAUGCCCUAAACGGUGCACACUAGGUCUUAGCGGAUUCGACCCCACUAGGGCCCAAGCUAACGCGUUAAGUGUGCCGCCUGAGGACUACGGUCGCAAGACUAAA
This 373-nucleotide ribosomal RNA is filed under the name uncultured bacterium. RNAcentral describes it as "bacterial SSU rRNA". It matches the Rfam family "Bacterial small subunit ribosomal RNA", at positions 527 to 898 of the family's 1533-position model. The record is from RNAcentral.